This 251-nucleotide ribosomal RNA is filed under the name uncultured prokaryote. Its description in RNAcentral is "partial 16S rRNA". It matches the Rfam family "Bacterial small subunit ribosomal RNA", at positions 525 to 775 of the family's 1533-position model. The record is from RNAcentral.
ACGUAGGGUGCGAGCGUUAAUCGGAAUUACUGGGCGUAAAGCGUGCGCAGGCGGUUUAGUAAGACAGGCGUGAAAUCCCCGGGCUCAACCUGGGAACUGCGCUUGUGACUGCUAAGCUAGAGUACGGCAGAGGGGGGUGGAAUUCCACGUGUAGCAGUGAAAUGCGUAGAGAUGUGGAGGAACACCGAUGGCGAAGGCAGCCCCCUGGGCCGAUACUGACGCUCAUGCACGAAAGCGUGGGUAGCAAACAG